This 511-nucleotide unclassified non-coding RNA is filed under the name Lotononis gracilis. Its description in RNAcentral is "partial contains external transcribed spacer and 18S ribosomal RNA". Lineage: Eukaryota; Viridiplantae; Streptophyta; Magnoliopsida; Fabales; Fabaceae. The record is from RNAcentral.
GCGGGGAGUGGGACGUUUGGUAGUGUCGAGUCUUGAAGACGUGAGGGCGUGUGAGAUGUUAUCGGGAUGUUUGUGCUGCUCGGCUCUGUGUUCAUGGUCAUCGAACUGCUAGCAUGCAACCCAUAUCAGGCUUGCCUGGCGCCUUCGGGCCUUGGUGUUCACUUGUGGUUCCUGUGUUGACUACCGGUUUAGCGGUAUUCAUGUGCCCUAUUGAGACCCGUUCCGUCCAGACCCCCUCUUGGAGGUUGCUGGCGGAUUUGAAAGUGAUGCGUGUUAUGGCGUUAGUUGUGCGUUGUUACGGCUCACGUCCUCACAUGCGUCAAUUGUUCCCUUGGAUGCGGUGCAUGCGGUGAAACGGGGUGUGCUGGUUGUGCCCCGUUGAGUCCCUUUUGAUAUAUCGGUUGCCUUAGAAAGACACUUUGCCGUUGUGCCGGUAUUGCUACCCCUUUGGUGGUGGCAACACUUGCUUGCACGUCGAGCUGAGUCGUCAAUGGGUGCUACCUGGUUGAUC